This 207-nucleotide ribosomal RNA is filed under the name uncultured bacterium. RNAcentral describes it as "partial 16S ribosomal RNA". It matches the Rfam family "Bacterial small subunit ribosomal RNA", at positions 568 to 774 of the family's 1533-position model. The record is from RNAcentral.
CGCGUAGGUGGUUUGAUAAGCGAGAUGUGAAAGCCCGGGCUUAACCUGGGAACGGCAUUUCGAACUGUCAGGCUAGAGUAUGGUAGAGGAGUGUGGAAUUUCCUGUGUAGCGGUGAAAUGCGUAGAUAUAGGAAGGAACACCAGUGGCGAAGGGCGGCACUCUGGACCAAUACUGACACUGAGGUGCGAAAGCGUGGGGAGCAAACA